Molecule: ribosomal RNA, 251 nt
Filed under: uncultured prokaryote
Description: partial 16S rRNA
Rfam family: Bacterial small subunit ribosomal RNA
Source: RNAcentral
ACGUAGGUGGCAAGCGUUGUCCGGAUUUACUGGGCGUAAAGGGAGCGUAGGCGGAUUUUUAAGUGGGAUGUGAAAUACUCGGGCUUAACCUGAGUGCUGCAUUCCAAACUGGAAGUCUAGAGUACAGGAGGGGAAAGCGGAAUUCCUAGUGUAGCGGUGUAAUGCGUAGAGAUUAGGAAGAACACCAGUGGCGAAGGCGACUUUCUGGACUGUAACUGACGCUGAGGCUCGAAAGCGUGGGGUGCAAACAG